RNAcentral lists this ribosomal RNA (330 nucleotides) under Cavitermes tuberosus. Its description in RNAcentral is "eukaryotic LSU rRNA". It matches the Rfam family "Eukaryotic large subunit ribosomal RNA", at positions 681 to 952 of the family's 3401-position model. Lineage: Eukaryota; Metazoa; Arthropoda; Insecta; Blattodea; Termitidae. The record is from RNAcentral.
UGCGCGCGAGUCACUGGGAUCAAGUCUAAACCCAGAGGCGCAGUGAAAGCGUGGGGCUCGCACGGCUAUAAAAAGCCGCUCGCGAGCCACUAAGGGAGGACGGCCGGUCGUUUCCCGAACGGUGCGGCCGGCCAGCACUCCCGGGGCGCCUCGGCUCCGGCCGCAGGCGCACCCGGAGCGCACACGUUGGGACCCGAAAGAUGGUGAACUAUGCCCGGCCAGGACGAAGUCAGGGGAAACCCUGAUGGAGGUCCGCAGCGAUUCUGACGUGCAAAUCGAUCGUCAGAGCUAGGUAUAGGGGCGAAAGACUAAUCGAACCAUCUAGUAGCU